GGCUGCGCCAUUUUGGCCUAAUAGUUAAGUCGCUUCUGUGUGGAUGAAAAUUUUUAUUAGGAAAUUGGUGUUUUACUAUUAAAAUACUUUAUUACUAAAAAAAGCAAAUAGACAGGCAAUGAAAGGUUCUUCUGUAAAUCUGCAUUUGGCCAAAAUGCACAAGUUAUGAAAGAAAUUAUUCUACAAUAAAACUACAGAUCUUACCAAAUUUCUAGCUGAUAGUUAACUUGUGGCUGUUGUCAAUUGUGUUGCUCUGUCAUAACGGUAGUGUCACUCGUUUGCUAUUCAUUACUGAACAUCUUCUGUGCACUAGUUUACAUUGUUGGUCUUCUAUGGUGCAAUAUCUCCUGCUACAAACUCAUACUAGGAAACACUGAAGGAUAUUUGCUCAAUCUGCAAGUACCUAAUUCAACUUUAAGAUAUGAUUCACAUUUCUUGUAUCCCACACAUAAACUGGAGCUAGUUUAUUUUACCCUAUUUUCGGCAUUUCCACUGUUUCAUAUUUGCAUCACAUAGGAAAAAGAUUUUGAUCAAACCAGAGAAGAGAAAGUUAUCUAAGGAGGAUGAAAUGCAUUGGAUAAUAUGGGAUUUAGUCUGCAUGUUGAAUGUUUCUUAAAAUCCAACACUCUUCUUCUCAGCUAGAAGCUUCUGUGUGAAUAUGCAGUUAAUAUAACAGGACUCCAUUAGGUUGCAUGUUAUGCAAGUACAUUCUGUAAUCUGAUUGUCCUUUUUUCAUGUCUCAUCCUUCCUUGAUUGUGCCAAAUAUUCUGCUUGUAAUAAGCAUAUUGGCCAAAAUACCACGCCUGAUUUCCCAAAAACAUGUAAAAUUGAUUGAAAAGAAUGUAAAAAAUCAAAGCUUGUUAAUAGAAAUUGUUUUGUAUCACA
Daphnia magna is the source of this 885-nucleotide long non-coding RNA. RefSeq lists it as uncharacterized. The record is from RefSeq and is a predicted model, not a curated record. NCBI's taxonomy places the organism in Eukaryota, Metazoa, Arthropoda, Branchiopoda, Diplostraca, Daphniidae. The transcript has 2 exons.